This is a long non-coding RNA of Elaeis guineensis (African oil palm), 1311 nucleotides long. RefSeq lists it as uncharacterized. The record is from RefSeq and is a predicted model, not a curated record. NCBI's taxonomy places the organism in Eukaryota, Viridiplantae, Streptophyta, Magnoliopsida, Arecales, Arecaceae.
ACGAAAGAAAAGAGGUUGUACUAGAAGGGUUGGGUUAAGUAAGAUAAACAAAGCCCUUGGUAAAAAAAUAGAGAUCAACAUCUCAACGAAAGAAGGGCGAUCCACUAAUGCUGUUCAAUCCGCCAAGCUAUUAAAUGAGUUGGGUAUGAUAGCUCAAAAUAUCUAAUCUAUCAAGCCUAGAUGGACCAAAUUUACAAAGGUGGAGAUGCAGAUUGCGUUUGACAAACUAGAGUAAAAACUAGAUGUCAAGGGUUUAAAGAUGGAUGAGGAAGUUUGUGCUAGCGUCAAGAAGCUUCUUUCAUUGAAGUCAAAGGAUCAAAGAUAUCGACUACAUAUGCAUUACCUUAACCAUGGAAAGGACUCAAAGCCAGGUACUGUGAGUAUGAUAGAAUGGAUAGAUCUAUGUACUUACUGGAGUAAAGAAAAGACACAGCUAACAUGUGAGCAUAACAAAAAAUUCAAAAAUUUUGUCAAGUGCCAAGCAAACACCGGGUCAAAAGCUUUUGUACCUAUACGAGCGAGAAUAAAUUGAAUGGAAAGAGUGCAAUCGAAUUAUGUUGUGGUAUCAUACUCAUUACACCCCAGGUCAUGGUGACACUUCAGAUAGAUGGACAACUCUCGAGUGUGAGGCAAAAUGGAAUGAAAUGAUGCAGGUACUAGAGCAGUCCAUAUCUGAUGGUCAUCCUAUGAUAGCAGACCAGAUAUGCGAUAAAGUUUUGGGGAUCAGAUCAGAUUAUGUCUAUGGUUUGGGAGUUGGACCUCGUCCAAAGGGAAGAGUUCCUCUUUUAUAUCUAAGAAGAGACUUCAAAAGGAGUUGGAGCAGUCGCAAAAGCAUAAUCAAGAGAUGAAGAAUGAGAUUGUAGACAUUAAGGCGUAGAUGGAGCGUCAACAAAAGAUUUUGGAAGCUUUAUGUGCAUCACAGAAUAUCUUUUUAUCAUAUUUAUGAUGGAUCCCGUGAUUCAAGAACUUGUGAAGAUGUGGUUUUGAGGACAUGCAUGGUAGAGGGGCCUUUUGCGCUUUAGAUUGUCGACUUAUGAACUCAUUUGUUUUAUUAUAGACAGAUGGAUAAUGAGUUUGUUUGCUUUUGGUUAGAGGUGAAUUGUUUGCUUUUGGUAGAAAUAUGGUCUCUUAGUGCUUUUAGUUGGAAAUACCAUCUCUUUGGAUGUCUAGACAAUUUAUUUUUUGGAUUAUAAACUUUAUGUAUAGAUUCAUCUUGAUUGUGAAUUGUACGUGAGUUCAUACUUUAGUUGUCGAAUGAUUUAUUGACUGAAAAUGGAUGAUUUACUUAGUAUUUGAAUAUGUACCAGAAAA